CCAGAGUUCCCAAGUCAGGGGUUCUGGGUUAGGAUUCCAGAAGUUGUAUUUCUGAAAAGUUCCCAAGCAGUGCAGAUGAUACGGGCCAACACCCGCUGAUCCGAGGUCAUCUUCCAGCUUCCCAAAGCAACAUUUUAUCCAGUACUCAAAGAUUCUGAAGAUACUGUGAAAUGAUACAUAUCCUGUUUGCAGGUGAGGAAGAUACCAGCUUUCAGCUCAGCUUUACACUUUAAAGAUGCCUCACUAAGAAAAGGACAAAGGCUCUGCCAUCCACCUGUCAUUAUGACCCAGGAAGGUUCAUAAUUGAGAGGAAGCAGUGACAUUUUCAAUAGACUGUGUUUCCAUCUCAACUACUCCAAACAAGGAAUCACAAGUUCCAAUUCCAGGAGAGUUGGGUCAGACUUUCAUCUCUGGGAGCCAAGAGAGUAAGUGUCAUAAGAACAACUUGGUGCUUUGGGAUGUGACUUUUAAAACCAAAGGACAAAUGUGCACAUUUCAAGAGACUUGUGGGAUAUCCCUGGUGGGAUAGUUGCCUCUUCAACAAAGUAAAAGUUAUAUAG
Mustela lutreola (European mink) is the source of this 560-nucleotide long non-coding RNA. RefSeq lists it as uncharacterized. NCBI's taxonomy places the organism in Eukaryota, Metazoa, Chordata, Mammalia, Carnivora, Mustelidae. The transcript has 5 exons. The record is from RefSeq and is a predicted model, not a curated record.